Molecule: ribosomal RNA, 253 nt
Filed under: uncultured bacterium
Lineage: Bacteria
Description: partial 16S ribosomal RNA
Rfam family: Bacterial small subunit ribosomal RNA
Source: RNAcentral
UACGUAGGGUGCGAGCGUUGCCCGGAUUUAUUGGGCGUAAAGGGCGCGUAGGCGGCUCGGCACGUCCGUUGUGAAAUCGCCCGGCUCAACUGGGCGGGGUCAGCGGAUACGGUCGAGCUUGAGCAAGCUAGGGGGUAAUGGAAUUCCCGGUGUAGCGGUGAAAUGCGCAGAUAUCAGGAGGAACACCGAUGGCGAAGGCAGGUCUCUGGGCAUUAACUGACGCUGAGGAGCGAAAGCAUGGGGAGCGAACAGG